CCUACGGGUGGCAGCAGUGAGGAAUAUUGGGCAAUGGACGAGAGUCUGAACCAGCCAAGUAGCGUGAAGGAUGACUGCCCUAUGGGUUGUAAACUUCUUUUAUAUGGGAAUAAAAUGUUCCACGUGUGGGAUUUUGUAUGUACCAUAUGAAUAAGGAUCGGCGAACUCCGUGCCAGCAGCCGCGGUAAUACGGAGGAUCCGAGCGUUAUCCGGAUUUAUUGGGUUUAAAGGGAGCGUAGGUGGAUUGUUAAGUCAGUUGUGAAAGUCUGCGGCUCAACCGUAAAAUUGCAGUUGAAACUGGCAGUCUUGAGUACAGUAGAGGUGAGCGGAAUUCGUGGUGUAGCGGUGAAAUGCUUAGAUAUCACGAAGAACUCCGAUUGCGAAGGCAGCUCACUGGACUGCAACUGACACUGAGGCUCGAAAGUGUGGGUAGCAAACAGGAUUAGAUACCCCAGUAGUC
RNAcentral lists this ribosomal RNA (460 nucleotides) under uncultured bacterium. RNAcentral's name for it is "partial 16S ribosomal RNA". It matches the Rfam family "Bacterial small subunit ribosomal RNA", at positions 338 to 795 of the family's 1533-position model. The record is from RNAcentral.